AUUGAACGCUGGCGGCAUGCCUUACACAUGCAAGUCGAACGGCAGCGGGGGAGAAGCUUGCUUUUCUGCCGGCGAGUGGCGAACGGGUGAGUAAUACAUCGGAACGUGCCCUGUAGUGGGGGAUAACUAGUCGAAAGAUUAGCUAAUACCGCAUACGACCUGAGGGUGAAAGGGGGGGACCGCAAGGCCCCAUGCUAGAGGAGCGGCCGAUGUCUGAUUAGCUAGUUGGUGGGGUAAAGGCCUACUAAGGCGACGAACAGUAGCUGGUCUGAGAGGACGAUCAGCCACACUGGGACUGAGACACGGCCCAGACUCCUACGGGAGGCAGCAGUGGGGAAUUUUGGACAAUGGGCGAAAGCCUGAUCCAGCAAUGCCGCGUGUGUGAAGAAGGCCUUCGGGUUGUAAAGCACUUUUGUCCGGAAAGAAAUGGCUCUGGUUAAUACCUGGGGUCGAUGACGGUACCGGAAGAAUAAGGACCGGCUAACUACGUGCCAGCAGCCGCCGUAA
RNAcentral lists this ribosomal RNA (507 nucleotides) under uncultured bacterium. RNAcentral's name for it is "partial 16S ribosomal RNA". It matches the Rfam family "Bacterial small subunit ribosomal RNA", at positions 30 to 523 of the family's 1533-position model. The record is from RNAcentral.